Molecule: ribosomal RNA, 1151 nt
Filed under: Myriotrema myrioporoides
Lineage: Eukaryota; Fungi; Ascomycota; Lecanoromycetes; Ostropales; Graphidaceae
Description: eukaryotic LSU rRNA
Rfam family: Eukaryotic large subunit ribosomal RNA
Source: RNAcentral
UUGCGAGUGGAAAGGGGGCACAGCUCAAUUGAGUGACUGGCCCCAGUGGCCGAAUUGUAAUUUGUAGAAGGUGCUUCGGGUGCGACGACGGUCCAAGUCCCUUGGAACAGGGCGUCCCAGAGGGUGAGAAUCCCGUACGUGGCCGAGGGUCAAACCCGUGUGAAGCCCUUUCGACGAGUCGAGUUGUUUGGGAAUGCAGCUCUAAGUGGGUGGUAAACUUCAUCUAAAGCUAAAUAUCUGCUGGAGACCGAUAGCGCACAAGUAGAGUGAUCGAAAGAUGAAAAGCACUUUGAAAAGAGAGUUAAACAGUACGUGAAAUUGUUAAAAGGGAAGCGCUUGCAACCAGACUCGGUCGCGGAAGUUCAGCCGUCCUUCGGGCCGGUGCAUUCUUCCGCGGCUGGGCCAGCAUCGGUUCCGGCGGUCGGACAAAAGCUUCGGGAACGUGGCUCUCUCCGGGGAGUGUUAUAGCCCGAGGCUCAAUGCGGCCAGCUAGGACCGAGGACCGCGCAUUCGCUAGGAUGCUGGCGUAAUGGUUGCCAGCGACCCGUCUUGAAACACGGACCAAGGAGUCGACCAACCGCGCGAGUGUUUGGGCGUCAAACCCAUGCGCGUAAUGAAAGUGAACGGAGGUGGGAGCCCUCGGGUGCACCAUCGACCGAUCUUGAUGUUUUCGGAUGGAUUUGAGUAAGAGCGUGAUUGGCCGGACCCGAAAGGCAAGUUGACUUUGCAAUCUAAUUUGAUCUCUGGCUGAUAUGUUUUUUAGAUGGUGAACUAUGCGUGAAUAGGGUGAAGCCAGAGGAAACUCUGGUGGAGGCUCGCAGCGGUUCUGACGUGCAAAUCGAUCGUCAAAUUUGCGCAUAGGGGCGAAAGGUACGUUUCGUUGAGUUUCCGGAAAGUUCCUCUUGGCUAACUUCAGUACAGACUAAUCGAACCAUCUAGUAGCUGGUUCCCGUCGAAGUUUCCCUCAGGAUAGCAGCAGCGGAGGUUUCAGUCUCAUGAGGUAGAGCAAACGAUUAGAGGCCUUGGGGUCGAUAGUGACCUUAACCUAUUCUCGAACUUCGAAUAUGUGAGAAGUCCUUGUUACUUAGUUGAACGUGGACAUUGGAUGUGCCGCUGCAUGUUCCCCAUUUUGGUAGCAGAACCUGCGGCAA